This 468-nucleotide ribosomal RNA is filed under the name uncultured bacterium. RNAcentral's name for it is "partial 16S ribosomal RNA". It matches the Rfam family "Bacterial small subunit ribosomal RNA", at positions 28 to 507 of the family's 1533-position model. The record is from RNAcentral.
GACGAACGCUGGCGGCGUGCUUAACACAUGCAAGUCGAACGGAAAGGCCCUGAUCUUGCGGGGCGCUCGAGUGGCGAACGGGUGAGUAACACGUGAGUAACCCGUCCCUGACAUUGGGAUAACUUCAGGAAACUGCGGCUAAUAUCGGAUAGGAGCUCUUGCUGCACGGUGGGGGUUGGAAAGUUUCGGCGGUUGGGGCUGGACUCGCGGCUUAUGAGCUGGAUGGUGGGGUAGUUGCUUACCAAGGUUUUGACGGGUAGCCGGCCUGAGAGGGUGGCCGGCCACAUUGGGACUGAGAUACGGCCCAGUCUCCUACGGGAGGCAGCAGUCGGGAAUAUUGCACAAUGAGCGGAAGCCUGAUGCAGCAGCGCCGCGUGCGGGAUGACGGCCUUCGGGUUGUAAACCGCUUUCGCCUGUGACGAAGCGUGAGUGACGGUAAUGGGUAAAGAAGCACCGGCUAACUACGUG